GGGACUCCUACGGGAGGCAGCAGUGGGGAAUUUUCCGCAAUGGGCGAAAGCCUGACGGAGCAAUGCCGCGUGGAGGUGGAAGGCCUACGGGUCGUCAACUUCUUUUCUCGGAGAAGAAACAAUGACGGUAUCUGAGGAAUAAGCAUCGGCUAACUCUGUGCCAGCAG
This 167-nucleotide ribosomal RNA is filed under the name uncultured bacterium. RNAcentral describes it as "partial 16S ribosomal RNA". It matches the Rfam family "Bacterial small subunit ribosomal RNA", at positions 332 to 514 of the family's 1533-position model. The record is from RNAcentral.